ACGCUGGCGGCGUGCCUAAUACAUGCAAGUCGAACGGUCUUUCUAUGGAAGCUUGCUUCCACUGAGAAGAUAGUGGGCGAACGGGUGAGUAACACGUGGGUAACCUGCCCAUAAGAGGGGGAUAACAUCCGGAAACGGGUGCUAAUACCGCAUAGUUUUUCUUGAUCGCAUGAUCGGGAAAGGAAAGACGGCCUUUGUGCUGUCGCUUAUGGAUGGACCCGCGGCGUAUUAGUUAGUUGGUGAGGUAACGGCUCACCAAGACGAUGAUACGUAGCCGACCUGAGAGGGUGAUCGGCCACAUUGGGACUGAGACACGGCCCAAACUCCUACGGGAGGCAGCAGUAGGGAAUCUUCCGCAAUGGACGAAAGUCUGACGGAGCAACGCCGCGUGAGUGAAAGAAGGUUUUCGGAUCGUAAAACUCUGUUGUCAGAGAAGAACAAGUUGGAGAGUAACUGCUCCAGCCUUGACGGUAUCUGACCAGAAAGCCACGGCUAACUACGUGCCAGCCGCCGC
Molecule: ribosomal RNA, 514 nt
Filed under: uncultured bacterium
Lineage: Bacteria
Description: bacterial SSU rRNA
Rfam family: Bacterial small subunit ribosomal RNA
Source: RNAcentral